UUUAAUGCUCAUACAAACAAGCACUCAGUUGGGUUUAAUCAGGCCACAGUGCCUAGACCCCCUAUUUUCAAACCCAGAGUUAAUUUUGAGCAAAGCAGAUGGCCCUUAUUUUGCAGAUACUGCAAGAAAUCUGGGCACUUAAUUGAUAAGUGCUACAAGAUCCAUGAGUUUCCUCAAAACAUAAAUUACAACAAGGGAAGGAAAUCUACAGCUUCUCAUAUCUCCACUGGUGAUGAAUGUGUGUCUGUUAAUCAUGGGAAUCCUAAUUUGUCUGUUUCUCUUGGGAUCCUUCUGCCAGCCAUCACCAUGUUACACACAUGG
RNAcentral lists this long non-coding RNA (321 nucleotides) under Nicotiana benthamiana. RNAcentral describes it as "long non-coding RNA (NBEN_LNC033717)". Lineage: Eukaryota; Viridiplantae; Streptophyta; Magnoliopsida; Solanales; Solanaceae. The record is from RNAcentral.